Molecule: ribosomal RNA, 394 nt
Filed under: uncultured bacterium
Lineage: Bacteria
Description: partial 16S ribosomal RNA
Rfam family: Bacterial small subunit ribosomal RNA
Source: RNAcentral
ACACGUAGGGGGCGAGCGUUGUUCGGAAUCAUUGGGCGUAAAGGGCGUGCAGGCGGUCCUGCAAGUCCGGCGUGAAAGACCCCGGCCCAACCGGGGGGACGCGCUGGAAACUGCGGGGCUUGAGUACAGGAGGGGGUGCCGGAAUUCCAGGUGUAGGGGUGAAAUCCGUAGAUAUCUGGAAGAACACCAAUGGCGAAGGCAGGCAUCUGGCCAUGUACUGACGCUGAGACGCGAAGGUGCGGGGAGCAAACAGGUUUAGAUACCCUGGUAGUCCGCACAGUAAACGAUGUGCACCAGGUGGCGGGGGGUCGACCCUCGGUACCGUAGCUAACGCAUUAAGUGCACCGCCUGGGGAGUAUGCUCGCAAGGGUGAAACUCAAAUGAAUUGGCGGGG